RNAcentral lists this ribosomal RNA (286 nucleotides) under soil fungal sp. DM055. Its description in RNAcentral is "partial 28S rRNA". It matches the Rfam family "Eukaryotic large subunit ribosomal RNA", at positions 176 to 465 of the family's 3401-position model. Lineage: Eukaryota; Fungi. The record is from RNAcentral.
CCUUCCGAGUUCCCUGGAACGGGACGCCAUAGAGGGUGAGAGCCCCGUCUGGUAGGAUACCCAGCCCGUGUGACGCUCCCUCGACGAGUCGAGUAGUUUGGGAAUGCUGCUCUAACGGGAGGUAUACUCCUUCCAAGGCUAAAUACCGGCUGGAGACCGAUAGCGCACAAGUAGAGUGAUCGAAAGAUGAAAAGCACUUUGAAAAGAGAGUCAAACAGCACGUGAAAUUGUUAAAAGGGAAGCGCUCGCUACCAGACUUGGGUUCGGCGGUUCAACCGGGGCCACG